GAAUAUUGGUCAAUGGGCGAGAGCCUGAACCAGCCAAGUAGCGUGAAGGAUGACCGCCCUAUGGGUUGUAAACUUCUUUUAUAUGGGAAUAAAGGGUGCCACGUGUGGCAUUUUGUAUGUACCAUAUGAAUAAGGAUCGGCUAACUCCGUGCCAGCAGCCGCGGUAAUACGGAGGAUCCGAGCGUUAUCCGGAUUUAUUGGGUUUAAAGGGAGCGUAGGUGGACAUGUAAGUCAGUUGUGAAAGUUUGCGGCUCAACCGUAAAAUUGCAGUUGAAACUGCGUGUCUUGAGUACAGUAGAGGUGGGCGGAAUUCGUGGUGUAGCGGUGAAAUGCUUAGAUAUCACGAAGAACUCCGAUUGCGAAGGCAGCUCACUGGACUGCAACUGACACUGAUGCUCGAAAGUGUGGGUAUCAAACAGGAUUAGAUACCCUGGUAGUCCACACAGUAAACGAUGAAUACUCGCUGUUUGCGAUAUACAGCAAGCGGCCAAGCGAAAGCGUUAAGUAUUCCACCUGGGGAGUACGCCGGCAACGGUGAAACUCAAAGGAAUUGACGGGGGCCCGCACAAGCGGAGGAACAUGUGGUUUAAUUCGAUGAUACGCGAGGAACCUUACCCGGGCUUAAAUUGCAGAUGAAUUACGGUGAAAGCCGUAAGCCGCAAGGCAUCUGUGAAGGUGCUGCAUGGUUGUCGUCAGCUCGUGCCGUGAGGUGUCGGCUUAAGUGCCAUAACGAGCGCAACCCUUGUUGUCAGUUACUAACAGGUUCUGCUGAGGACUCUGACAAGACUGCCAUCGUAAGAUGUGAGGAAGGUGGGGAUGACGUCAAAUCAGCACGGCCCUUACGUCCGGGGCUACACACGUGUUACAAUGGGGGGUACAGAGGGCCGCUACCACGCGAGUGGAUGCCAAUCCCCAAAACCUCUCUCAGUUCGGACUGGAGUCUGCAACCCGACUCCACGAAGCUGGAUUCGCUAGUAAUCGCGCAUCAGCCACGGCGCGGUGAAUACGUUCCCG
This 1014-nucleotide ribosomal RNA is filed under the name uncultured bacterium. Its description in RNAcentral is "bacterial SSU rRNA". It matches the Rfam family "Bacterial small subunit ribosomal RNA", at positions 359 to 1376 of the family's 1533-position model. The record is from RNAcentral.